AAUCAAUAAGCUUUUAGAAGCUUAUAUUUUGAAAAUAUAGGAAAAGAAUUAAAUUUCUUAUUGAUUU
RNAcentral lists this transfer RNA (67 nucleotides) under Ophiogomphus cecilia. RNAcentral's name for it is "tRNA-Ser". Lineage: Eukaryota; Metazoa; Arthropoda; Insecta; Odonata; Gomphidae. RNAcentral also lists the same sequence under 2 other names. The record is from RNAcentral.